UGGGGAAUUUUGGACAAUGGGCGAAAGCCUGAUCCAGCAAUGCCGCGUGUGUGAAGAAGGCCUUCGGGUUGUAAAGCACUUUUGUCCGGAAAGAAAUCCUUGGCUCUAAUACAGUCGGGGGAUGACGGUACCGGAAGAAUAAGCGCCGGCUAACUACGUGCCAGCAGCCGCGGUAAUACGUAGGGUGCAAGCGUUAAUCGGAAUUACUGGGCGUAAAGCGUGCGCAGGCGGUUUGCUAAGACCGAUGUGAAAUCCCCGGGCUCAACCUGGGAACUGCAUUGGUGACUGGCAGGCUAGAGUAGUGCAGAGGGGGGUAGAAUUCCACGUGUAGCAGUGAAAUGCGUAGAGAUGUGGAGGAAUACCGAUGGCGAAGGCAGCCCCCUGGGCCAAUACUGACGCUCAUGCACGAAAGCGUGGGGAGCAAACAGGAUUAGAUACCCUGGUAGUCCACGCCCUAAAACGAUGUCAACUAGUUGUUGGGGAUUCAUUUCCUAGUAACGUAGCUAACGCGUGAAGUUGACCGCCUGGGGAGUACGGUCGCAAGAUUAAAACUCAAAUGAAUUGACGGGGUCAUAGCU
RNAcentral lists this ribosomal RNA (578 nucleotides) under uncultured bacterium. Its description in RNAcentral is "partial 16S ribosomal RNA". It matches the Rfam family "Bacterial small subunit ribosomal RNA", at positions 355 to 926 of the family's 1533-position model. The record is from RNAcentral.